CCUACGGGAGACUGCAGUGAGGAAUAUUGGUCAAUGGGAGGGAGACUGAACCAGCCAAGCCGCGUGAGGGAAGACGGCACUAUGUAUUGUAAACCUCUUUUGUCGGGGAACAAAACCCGGGACGUGUCCCGGGCUGCGUGUAUCCGAAGAAAAAGCAUCGGCUAACUCCGUGCCAGCAGCCGCGGUAAUACGGAGGAUGCGAGCGUUAUCCGGAUUUAUUGGGUUUAAAGGGUGCGUAGGCGGUCCGUUAAGUCAGCGGUAAAAUUGCGGGGCUCAACCCCGUCCAGCCGUUGAAACUGGCAGACUCGAGUUGGCGAGAAGUACGCGGAAUGCGCGGUGUAGCGGUGAAAUGCAUAGAUAUCGCGCAGAACUCCGAUUGCGAAGGCAGCGUACCGGCUCCAGACUGACGCUGAGGCACGAAAGCGUGGGGAUCGAACAGGAUUAGAUACCCUAGUAGUC
RNAcentral lists this ribosomal RNA (459 nucleotides) under uncultured bacterium. RNAcentral's name for it is "partial 16S ribosomal RNA". It matches the Rfam family "Bacterial small subunit ribosomal RNA", at positions 338 to 795 of the family's 1533-position model. The record is from RNAcentral.